RNAcentral lists this long non-coding RNA (1928 nucleotides) under Theobroma cacao (cacao). RNAcentral describes it as "long non-coding RNA (TCAC_LNC002472)". The record is from RNAcentral. Lineage: Eukaryota; Viridiplantae; Streptophyta; Magnoliopsida; Malvales; Malvaceae.
AAGAAGAAAGGAAGAAAAGGAAGAACAAAACCUUAGGUGGAAAAAUUCAAGGGAAAAGUGUGAAAAUUCAAGGAAACAAGUGAAAAAAAGGUAAGAUUUUUCAAUUAAGCUUAAGAUCUCUCUUUCUUAAGCAUUUUUUCUUAUUUUCCAUGGUUGAAUCACAUGAUUUCAUGAUGAAUCCCAUGUUGGCCGAACACUUAGAGGGAGGUUUUGAUGCUUGAUUUGGUUAGAUUUCAAUGUAUUUUAAUGUUUUUAGUUAGUUAGUUAUGUGUAGUAUGAAAAGCCAACAAGAAAAAUUCACUUCCUCCCAUCACCCAUCAUUGGCCGAAUUCUCCAUGUAAAAUAUUGAUGAUGAUUUUGAUUUUAUUUCAAGUGAUUUGGUUAGGAAUUAGUGAUUUAUGGUGUGAUAAUCAAGCUUGAAAAAUUAUAGUGUUAAUGCACCCACUAUGGCCGAAUUUUCCAAGAGAUAAUGUGCGCAUGAUUUUGCCAUAUUUCAAGUUAUUUAAUUUGUGUUUGAUGAUUUGGAGUAUUGGAAGAAAAAUGGAAUUAAUUGGAGUUGAAUUGGACAUAUUAGCUAAUUAAUCGAGUGAUAGAUAAAAUUAGGCGAAUAUCGUUUUAUUUAGGUACACAAUUGAAUUUGUGUGGAACACCGUGUUUAGACGAUAAUCCGAACAAUUUACAUCCCAUUUCAUGCAUUAGUAUAGAGCCUGAAUUGGUUUUAUAACAAUUUAGCACAAAUGUAGUAAAUGGCUUAUUGUGCAUUAUGUCUAGGUGGUGAGCAUUCUGGCAAAAGUAAAGAGAUAGUACCCGAAAAUCAAGAAUCGGAGUACUCAGAAUUCGACUCCCGAAAUAGUGAGUAACCUUACUAUCAUCUUGAUUAUCUAAAGUGAUUUUUAUCCGAUUUUGUGAUUUUAUGAAAAAUGUGUUAAAUGGUAAAUCUUUUGUGUUUUGUAAUUAAAAUGUGAUUUAAUGAAAUGAUUUUAUAACAUUGUCUUGAAAUGAAAUGAUGGUUUGAAAAUAGAGUAAUUGGAGACUGUUUUCAUGUGUUGUAAAUUCAUGGUUUGAAUCGAAUGGCUUAUGACAAUAUUUGCAUGAAUGGUUGAAUUGGUAUUUGUGUUGAAAUAUAUGAACUGUGUAUUUUGCCUUGGGAGGCUGGAUUGUGAUAUAAUUGCCAUGUCAUGCGGUUGAGAUUUUAUUGAAUUGGUGGGUUUAGCUUGCUGUAGUGGGUGGGUUUCGUGGACCAGCCUAUUAGAGGGGCAUGGUAACCCCGUUAUACUCUUACCUCGGUCUGAAAGGCGUGUAAGGUAACUCCCGAGGUACAACUUUAGAGUUCACUUUACGCCAAACCACCACGUGAGGGUGAACUCAGCCAACGCCAAGGAACGACUAUGUUUUCAAAAUAAAAACAUGAUUUAUGCAUACAUGACUUUUUAACUGCCUUGGUGGACUCGGUUGGGAUAGCCCCAGGCCAAGGUAUCCCUAAUAACUAAGUAUGAUAAUGAUUUUCGCACGAGCCAAAGUUUUAAGAAAUUCAUAAGCCAUGUUGAAUACUCAAUUUAUAUGAAUUGAUUUUAUUUAGUUGAAAUGAGUUGAAAGGUGAUGAAUUACAGUAUGAUAAUCUAUUUUAAUCUGUCUCCAUUUACUCAACUUUAGAUAUUUUAGAUGGUGUUUGUUUACUCACUGGGAUUAUAUAAUCUCACCACCCUCAUUUUCACCCAUUUUAGGCUCAAGAUAGUCGGUAAAUAGCUCAUUUCGUUAAGGGCUACAGUUGGACUUACAUCCUCAAAAACUGUAGGUUUACCGCUUUUGAUACUUUUGAUCGUUCGUGGGCCCACAUGUCACUGUAAAUUAAAUCUUAUGCUUUGGUUAUCUGUAUUACAGUAUGUAUGAAUUUAUUUAGCUUUUACGCUACAAAAAUUAUUUACCAG